RNAcentral lists this ribosomal RNA (253 nucleotides) under uncultured bacterium. RNAcentral's name for it is "partial 16S ribosomal RNA". It matches the Rfam family "Bacterial small subunit ribosomal RNA", at positions 524 to 776 of the family's 1533-position model. The record is from RNAcentral.
UACGAAGGGUGCAAGCGUUACUCGGAAUUACUGGGCGUAAAGCGUGCGUAGGUGGUUCGUUAAGUCUGUCGUGAAAGCCCCGGGCUCAACCUGGGAAUGGCGAUGGAUACUGGCGGGCUAGAGUGCGGUAGAGGGUGGUGGAAUUCCCGGUGUAGCGGUGAAAUGCGUAGAUAUCUGGAGGAACACCGGUGGCGAAGGCGGCAUCCUGGACCGACACUGACGCUGAGGCGCGAAAGCUAGGGUAGCAAACGGG